AUUGAACGCUGGCGGCAGGCCUAACACAUGCAAGUCGAGCGGAUGAAGGGAGCUUGCUCCUGGAUUCAGCGGCGGACGGGUGAGUAAUGCCUAGGAAUCUGCCUGGUAGUGGGGGAUAACGUCCGGAAACGGGCGCUAAUACCGCAUACGUCCUGAGGGAGAAAGUGGGGGAUCUUCGGACCUCACGCUAUCAGAUGAGCCUAGGUCGGAUUAGCUAGUUGGUGGGGUAAAGGCCUACCAAGGCGACGAUCCGUAACUGGUCUGAGAGGAUGAUCAGUCACACUGGAACUGAGACACGGUCCAGACUCCUACGGGAGGCAGCAGUGGGGAAUAUUGGACAAUGGGCGAAAGCCUGAUCCAGCCAUGCCGCGUGUGUGAAGAAGGUCUUCGGAUUGUAAAGCACUUUAAGUGGGGAGGAAGGGCAGUAAGUUAAUACCUUGCUGUUUUGACGUUACCAACAGAAUAAGCACCGGCUAACCUCGUG
This 484-nucleotide ribosomal RNA is filed under the name uncultured bacterium. RNAcentral's name for it is "partial 16S ribosomal RNA". It matches the Rfam family "Bacterial small subunit ribosomal RNA", at positions 30 to 507 of the family's 1533-position model. The record is from RNAcentral.